UAUGGAGAGUUUGAUCCUGGCUCAGGACGAACGCUGGCGGCGUGCCUAAUACAUGCAAGUCGAGCGCAGGAAGCUAACUGAUCCCCUUCGGGGGUGACGUUAGUGGAAUGAGCGGCGGACGGGUGAGUAACACGUGGGCAACCUGCCUGUAAGACCGGAAUAACCCCGGGAAACCGGGGCUAAUGCCGGGUAAUCUCCUCCCUCGCAUGAGGGAAGAGUAAAAGAUGGCUUUCUGAGCUAUCGCUUACAGAUGGGCCCGCGGCGCAUUAGCUAGUUGGUGAGGUAACGGCUCACCAAGGCGACGAUGCGUAGCCGACCUGAGAGGGUGAUCGGCCACACUGGGACUGAGACACGGCCCAGACUCCUACGGGAGGCAGCAGUAGGGAAUCUUCCGCAAUGGACGAAAGUCUGACGGAGCAACGCCGCGUGAACGAUGAAGGUCUUCGGAUCGUAAAGUUCUGUUGCGAGGGAAGAACAAGUACCGUGCGAAUAGAGCGGUACCUUGACGGUACCUCGCGAGAAAGCCCCGGCUAACUACGUGCCAGCAGCCGCGGUAAUACGUAGGGGGCAAGCGUUGUCCGGAAUUAUUGGGCGUAAAGCGCGCGCAGGCGGUUCCUUAAGUCUGAUGUGAAAGCCCACGGCUCAACCGUGGAGGGUCAUUGGAAACUGGGGAACUUGAGGACAGAAGAGGAGAGUGGAAUUCCACGUGUAGCGGUGAAAUGCGUAGAUAUGUGGAGGAACACCAGUGGCGAAGGCGACUCUCUGGUCUGUUUCUGACGCUGAGGUGCGAAAGCGUGGGUAGCAAACAGGAUUAGAUACCCUGGUAGUCCACGCCGUAAACGAUGAGUGCUAGGUGUUAGGGGGCUUCCACCCCUUAGUGCUGAAGUUAACGCAUUAAGCACUCCGCCUGGGGAGUACGGCCGCAAGGCUGAAACUCAAAGGAAUUGACGGGGGCCCGCACAAGCGGUGGAGCAUGUGGUUUAAUUCGAAGCAACGCGAAGAACCUUACCAGGUCUUGACAUCCUUGGACCACCCUAGAGAUAGGGUCUUCCCUUCGGGGACCAAGUGACAGGUGGUGCAUGGUUGUCGUCAGCUCGUGUCGUGAGAUGUUGGGUUAAGUCCCGCAACGAGCGCAACCCCUAAUCUUAGUUGCCAGCAUUGAGUUGGGCACUCUAAGGUGACUGCCGGUGACAAACCGGAGGAAGGCGGGGAUGACGUCAAAUCAUCAUGCCCCUUAUGACCUGGGCUACACACGUGCUACAAUGGAUGGUACAAAGGGCAGCGAAGCCGCGAGGUGUAGCAAAUCCCAUAAAACCAUUCUCAGUUCGGAUUGCAGGCUGCAACUCGCCUGCAUGAAGCCGGAAUCGCUAGUAAUCGCGGAUCAGAAUGCCGCGGUGAAUACGUUCCCGGGCCUUGUACACACCGCCCGUCACACCACGAGAGUUGGCAACACCCGAAGUCGGUGAGGUAACCUUUAUGGAGCCAGCCGCCGAAGGUGGGGCCAAUGAUUGGGGUGAAGUCGUAACAAGGUAGCCGUAUCGGAAGGUGCGGCUGGAUCACCUCCUUU
RNAcentral lists this ribosomal RNA (1567 nucleotides) under Halobacillus sp. Marseille-Q1614. Its description in RNAcentral is "bacterial SSU rRNA". It matches the Rfam family "Bacterial small subunit ribosomal RNA". Lineage: Bacteria; Bacillati; Bacillota; Bacilli; Caryophanales; Bacillaceae. The record is from RNAcentral.